RNAcentral lists this ribosomal RNA (688 nucleotides) under uncultured Bacillus sp. Its description in RNAcentral is "bacterial SSU rRNA". It matches the Rfam family "Bacterial small subunit ribosomal RNA", at positions 663 to 1351 of the family's 1533-position model. Lineage: Bacteria; Bacillati; Bacillota; Bacilli; Caryophanales; Bacillaceae. The record is from RNAcentral.
GGAAUUCCACGUGUAGCGGUGAAAUGCGUAGAGAUGUGGAGGAACACCAGUGGCGAAGGCGACUCUCUGGUCUGUAACUGACGCUGAGGAGCGAAAGCGUGGGGAGCGAACAGGAUUAGAUACCCUGGUAGUCCACGCCGUAAACGAUGAGUGCUAAGUGUUAGGGGGUUUCCGCCCCUUAGUGCUGCAGCUAACGCAUUAAGCACUCCGCCUGGGGAGUACGGUCGCAAGACUGAAACUCAAAGGAAUUGACGGGGGCCCGCACAAGCGGUGGAGCAUGUGGUUUAAUUCGAAGCAACGCGAAGAACCUUACCAGGUCUUGACAUCCUCUGACAAUCCUAGAGAUAGGACGUCCCCUUCGGGGGCAGAGUGACAGGUGGUGCAUGGUUGUCGUCAGCUCGUGUCGUGAGAUGUUGGGUUAAGUCCCGCAACGAGCGCAACCCUUGAUCUUAGUUGCCAGCAUUCAGUUGGGCACUCUAAGGUGACUGCCGGUGACAAACCGGAGGAAGGUGGGGAUGACGUCAAAUCAUCAUGCCCCUUAUGACCUGGGCUACACACGUGCUACAAUGGGCAGAACAAAGGGCAGCGAAACCGCGAGGUUAAGCCAAUCCCACAAAUCUGUUCUCAGUUCGGAUCGCAGUCUGCAACUCGACUGCGUGAAGCUGGAAUCGCUAGUAAUCGCGGAUCA